RNAcentral lists this ribosomal RNA (468 nucleotides) under uncultured bacterium. Its description in RNAcentral is "partial 16S ribosomal RNA". It matches the Rfam family "Bacterial small subunit ribosomal RNA", at positions 28 to 507 of the family's 1533-position model. The record is from RNAcentral.
GACGAACGCUGGCGGCGUGCUUAACACAUGCAAGUCGAACGGAAAGGCCCUGCUUUUGUGGGGUGCUCGAGUGGCGAACGGGUGAGUAACACGUGAGUAACCUGCCCUUGACUUUGGGAUAACUUCAGGAAACUGGGGCUAAUACCGGAUAGGAGCUCCUGCUGCAUGGUGGGGGUUGGAAAGUUUCGGCGGUUGGGGAUGGACUCGCGGCUUAUCAGCUUGUUGGUGGGGUAGUGGCUUACCAAGGCUUUGACGGGUAGCCGGCCUGAGAGGGUGACCGGCCACAUUGGGACUGAGAUACGGCCCAGACUCCUACGGGAGGCAGCAGUAGGGAAUAUUGCACAAUGGGCGGAAGCCUGAUGCAGCAACGCCGCGUGCGGGAUGACGGCCUUCGGGUUGUAAACCGCUUUCGCCUGUGACGAAGCGUGAGUGACGGUAAUGGGUAAAGAAGCAACGGCUAACUACGUG